This is a long non-coding RNA of Neltuma alba, 257 nucleotides long. RefSeq lists it as uncharacterized. NCBI's taxonomy places the organism in Eukaryota, Viridiplantae, Streptophyta, Magnoliopsida, Fabales, Fabaceae. The transcript is spliced from 3 exons. The record is from RefSeq and is a predicted model, not a curated record.
UGCUUGGCUAAAGAUUAUUUCUCUUAUUUAAGCCAUUGAUUGUUGCGCAAACUUUUGAGUAAUUCUAGUAAUGUCAUUUAUGACUUUCCAAUUCACCACUAACAUGACGCAGAAUGAAAGAAAUUGCGAACAAAUGCUACAUAUAUUGACAGAAGAUGAAAGAUUUGUGACAAUAAUCUCCAGAAAUAGCUUCUUCUUCCAGUCACGGUUUAAAUAAUAGAGGCAAAGAUGUUGUAAAAACGACUAUGGUUGCAAUC